RNAcentral lists this transfer RNA (72 nucleotides) under Bos taurus (domestic cattle). It matches the Rfam family "tRNA". Rfam says of the family: Transfer RNA (tRNA) molecules are approximately 80 nucleotides in length. Their secondary structure includes four short double-helical elements and three loops (D, anti-codon, and T loops). Further hydrogen bonds mediate the characteristic L-shaped molecular structure. tRNAs have two regions of fundamental functional importance: the anti-codon, which is responsible for specific mRNA codon recognition, and the 3' end, to which the tRNAs corresponding amino acid is attached (by aminoacyl-tRNA synthetases). tRNAs cope with the degeneracy of the genetic code in two manners: having more than one tRNA (with a specific anti-codon) for a particular amino acid; and 'wobble' base-pairing, i.e. permitting non-standard base-pairing at the 3rd anti-codon position. RNAcentral also lists the same sequence under 4 other names. The record is from Rfam by way of RNAcentral. Lineage: Eukaryota; Metazoa; Chordata; Mammalia; Artiodactyla; Bovidae.
UCCCAGGUGGCUCAGUGGCAAAGAAUCUGCCUGCCAAUGCAGGAGACACGGGUUCGAUCCCUGAUCUGGGAA